AUGCUCCUGGUCCUCAUCUCGUUCCUCGGGAUACAUUUCUUCCUGGAUGUCCAAACACAGACAGUUUCCCAGUCUGAUGCCCAUGUCACUGUCUUCGAAGGAGACUCGGUGGAGCUGAGAUGCAACUAUUCCUAUGGUGGAUCCAUUUACCUCUCCUGGUACAUCCAACAUCAUGGCCGUGGCCUCCAGUUUCUCCUCAAGUACUAUUCGGGAAACCCAGUGGUUCAAGGAGUGAACGGCUUCGAGGCUGAGUUCAGCAAGAGUGACUCUUCCUUCCACCUGCGGAAAGCCUCCGUGCACUGGAGCGACUCAGCUGUGUGUACUUCUGUGCUGUGAGCG
Molecule: non-coding RNA, 339 nt
Organism: Mus musculus (house mouse)
Lineage: Eukaryota; Metazoa; Chordata; Mammalia; Rodentia; Muridae
Source: the annotation of a RefSeq genome assembly